CAGCACCUCAAGUGGUCAGGAUGAUUAUUGGGCCUAAAGCAUCCGUAGCCGGCGCUGUAAGUUUUCGGUUAAAUCUGUACGCUCAGCGUACAGGCUGCCGGGAAUACUGCAGCGCUAGGGAGUGGGAGGGGUAGACGGUACUCGGUAGGAAGGGGUAAAAUCCUUUGAUCUAUUGAUGACCACCUGUGGCGAAAGCGGUCUACCAGAACACGUCCGACGGUGAGGGAUGAAAGCUGGGGGAGCAAACCGGAUUAGAUACCCGAGUAGUCC
Molecule: ribosomal RNA, 270 nt
Filed under: uncultured archaeon
Lineage: Archaea
Description: partial 16S ribosomal RNA
Rfam family: Archaeal small subunit ribosomal RNA
Source: RNAcentral